UCUGCUCUUUGGGCGAUCGCCCAGCACCUUCUUUCGCAGCUGCAGUAACCACUCGCGAAAUAUCAAUCGUGAUUAUCGAGUCUACGAAAAAAGGUGCUGGGAGGAACGUCCGGGCUUCAUAGGAACGCCAUGCGGGUAACGCCCGCCGCGGCGGUGCAUACUCCAUCCUUGUGGUGGACAAGACCGUCGUAGGACAAGUGUCACAGUGACGAUUCCCGCCUUCAAACGUGGGAGUGCAACGCCCCGGGAACCGGGGUCCAGCACCUUUCUCGUUCGUGUGCCAAAUGCUAGUUAACCCUGGCAUUCGCUCCAAACAUUCAGAAAGGUGCUGGAUGGUAAACUCUUGGUGAAGCAAGGAGGAUUUGGGUGUAGGGAAUCGGCUUUGGUUCCAAAGUCCCUUUCACCCCUCCGCUCGAGCCCGCGAGCAAUCGCGGGCCUAGAUAGAUGAUCGCCUCCUCGGGGGAAACCUCGGGAAGACAAGACCCGGCGUAUAGAGGAGCAGCGAAU
Molecule: RNase P RNA, 507 nt
Filed under: Candidatus Peribacteria bacterium RIFCSPLOWO2_12_FULL_53_10
Lineage: Bacteria; Candidatus Peregrinibacteriota; Candidatus Peribacteria
Description: RNase P RNA component class A
Rfam family: Bacterial RNase P class A
About the family: Ribonuclease P (RNase P) is a ubiquitous endoribonuclease, found in archaea, bacteria and eukarya as well as chloroplasts and mitochondria. Its best characterised activity is the generation of mature 5'-ends of tRNAs by cleaving the 5'-leader elements of precursor-tRNAs. Cellular RNase Ps are ribonucleoproteins.
Source: RNAcentral